CAUCAGCAACUCAACUGCAUGUUUCGGGUGCAAAUCUUGCUGCUACGACCAAGUCGAAAGGAAUAAGCAUACAAGAAUAGUGCACCAUCACUAACAUGAGUUCCUCGUCAGCCUAGUUUCUGAUGCAGGCAAGGCAGCUAAGUUGUCGACAGCAGGAGAGACAACACAAUGAAAGAACUUGUCCGGAGGCUGGGUACAUAACUGAAGAGAACACACGUUAUGGUUUGGGUGUUGAUUAUCAUUCGUGCCGUUUUAGAAACCAGCAUUGAUCAAGGGGAGUCAUCAACAACAGGGUAGAAUCGGCACUUUGUCUCAUCAAUGCCUACAGUCUCAACUUGUCUAGAUCUCUUGUUACAUUUGUUCUCCUAAUUAUCAACUCACCUGGACUUAAAUCUUCUUUGGCUAUUGAUAUCAUUUUCCUUUCAACCCUUACCUGCUAAGAUUUGGAGCAUCUAAAUUGUAUCAAAUUAAAAAGUUUUCAAGUACAUAAUUUUGGAUGUCCUCCAAAGCUACAAGUUUUGAUAUAAA
This 528-nucleotide long non-coding RNA is filed under the name Oryza brachyantha (malo sina). RNAcentral describes it as "long non-coding RNA (OBRA_LNC001173)". Lineage: Eukaryota; Viridiplantae; Streptophyta; Magnoliopsida; Poales; Poaceae. The record is from RNAcentral.